CAGGAUUGCCACUGAAAGUUUUGAAUGCCUCCAAUAAUUGCUCUGAAAAUGCUACAGGAUGCUCUCCUUUCCUCAUGUGCACAUCAGAUAUCCCAGUUAAUGGACAUCACACCUAGGACUUCAAGCAGUGCCUGCUUCCUCUCUAACUUAUUGGCAGUUUUAGUUUUGACUUUCUGAUUUAACGCUCCAGACAAAGUGUCAGGCAAACACACAAUUAACAGCACACAUGCAUCACCAUCUGUGAAUUUGUAAAUAUCUGCAUAUUGCUCCAGAACUUUAAGAAAAUCUAAUGGAUCUUGUUUGGCAGGAUCAAAUUUACCAAUACUUUUAAUCACAGCUUCUAGCUCAUUGGGAUUAAACCCUCUGACCAUAGUAGAGGUCAUUGGUUCCUCCUCUUCUUCAUUAGCACGCAUAGUCAUAGUCAAGUGAACUGGAGCCAUGGGGAACUUAACUGUACAGUCAGAGUAUUGACUGCUGACUGACUGAGAAUCUCUUUCUGAGUUCCCAUCACUGUCUAACAUGUCAGUAACUUGAUUACUCCACAUACCACAUACAAAUGUUUUACUGGUGCUAAUUUCAGUUUUGCCAUUUUUUAAAAGGAAUUGACAAGCAGACUUUGCUUCCUCUAAAUCUUUGAACAGUGUUUCCACAGAUGAACUAAGCAUGCUGUUGUUAGUUCUAAGGUGUACAAUUUCAUUCUGCAUCCUAAUCUUUUCUUCUUUCCAGAUUAUCUCACUAGUCUGGUAAUCUCUUUUAGAGAUUAUCCCAUCAUCUAGUCGAGAUUGCAUUUGCUCGUUUUCAGACUUUAAUGCAUUUAAAGUCUUUCUAGUGACUUUAUACGAUGCAAGAACUGCUUGCAGUGCAUUGGCAAUCUGUCCUUUUUUGUUCUUGGGCAUUUUAGGGUAAUUUUCAAACUUAGAAAUAGCCCACUCAUACGGUUUAUCCACAGUGUUCUCUAUUCCAUCAAACAUUCCCUGAGAACUGUGUUUAGCGAUGUACUUAACAAUCAGCUGUUCCAUUUUUAGAAACUCACAGCUUUCCUUAAAUCUUAGUCUUUAAACUUUGCACAGUUUAUGUGACUAUAAGCUAUCUAGUUAACCGUUAGUCUAUCUAUUCACAGCUCCAGUACUUCGGACACAAAUGAACAAAACAGCCACAAUACGUCGGGCUUUUAAACUCAAAAGUCUCACUGCUUCGGACACAGACACACUCUGUCUGGUCUCGAGGUCAACUACAGUAACAAUUAACACUCACAACUCUCAAACAGAACGACUCACAAACAGUAACACACAAACUCACAAACAGUUUAAAACAUAACACAGUCACAGUACGUCGGACAAAACCACAGUACGUCAGGUUUUUGUUAUAUUUUAAAACAGUCUUCUUAGCCACAGCACUUUUGGACUUAAAAAAAUAGUUUAACACUGUCACAGUACGUCGGACAAAACCACAGUACGUGGGGUUUCUUUGCAUUAAAACCAAAGGUGUAAAGGAAGUUUUAUUUACAAUAAAUUAUGGCAUGUUUUUGAGUGGUGUGUGUGUGUGUGCACGCGUUGGUGCGGCCGGAUUAUGAGGACAAAUGACCUGAAUACGUACCAGCACUAUGAGGACACACCAUAACAAUGAGGACAGUGCCGAUGUCCUCAUAAUUCGAGCAGUGUAGCAUGACUCAUGAGGGUGUGCUGAACCUCCUCCCGCGUUUUCUUUAAAAGUCCUCAUAACUCGGUUGUACCAGUUUCGGAGUGUGUCCAGUGUAUGUUCCGUGUGUAUAAUUUCCCGCUAUUGCAGCUCAUUAAAAUUUCAGCCAAUCAGUUCUAUGUGGUGUGAAAUCCUCGUCAGCGAUUGGCUGUGGUUAAUGUCCGUCAAAGUCAGCGCUGCGUAGGCGUGGUGCGGAAUCCUCGUCAGCGAUUGGCUGCAUUGAAUGUCAGUCAAAAUCAGUGCAAAUCAGCUGCAGACGCGACGUGUUGUGGAGAAAUUAAUUCUAAUUAAGUUAAUUAGCUGAAUUACAGCGAACUUCACCACAGAAGAGUGUCACUUCCUCAUGUUAAAGUCAGAAUGGUAAGAAAAAAGAGAGUGAAGCCUGAUCAGGAUUCAAAAGAAACCAUCAUAUCAGGCAAAGACAAAGCCUUCAUUGAGGGACGAGAAAUUGACACAUUUAAAGGGAGGGGUGUGUUUGCUCUGAAACAUAUUGAACCAUCCACCUUUGUAGUUGAAUACCAUGGGAUUCUCUCUCAAAGUAAACAUGUUAAAGAUUUUCAAAGCAACUACUUGUUUGACUUUACAUGGAAUGGAACAUCUUAUUGCGUUGAUGCUUCAAAAGAGGACGGAAGACUUGGACGACUGGUGAAUGAUGUUCACAGAAAUCCAAACUGUAAAGUAAAAACAAUAAUUGUAAAUGGGACACCACACCUGUGCCUUUUUAGUAUUAGGGAUAUCUUUCCAGGUGAGGAGGUAACUUACAACUAUGGGGAUUCUUCUUGACCAUGGUGUUCAAGGGAAUUAUGUGACGAGACAUCGGUGGAAUUGAGCAGAGUGAAAACAUCCACACCAGAGAAAGAGAACAUAAGUCAGCAUAUUUUGCACCGAAGCAAGAUACUCAUACUUUGCUGCAUAGUACCAAAACAAUUCCAACAUCCACUAAAGACCAGCUACUCUCUGCCUAUUGACCCAACAUGUGAUCCUUAUGGAAUUAUGUGAAGAGACAUCGGUGGAUUUGCAUGAAUGCAGAGUGAAAACAUCCACACCAGAGAAAGAGAACGCAAGUUAGCAUAUUUUCUUUCUUGACCCUGACAGUGUUGGAUGUGGGAGGGUUGAGCAUCAUACCAGACUGUUUUACCUGGACUGCUGUUCUAAAGACGUUGUUGUGACAACUCCCACUUUGAGUAAAAUAUACCUCUCUCUGUUCAUUCACUUCCAUUAGAUGUGUGUUGGGGUAUGGGCGUGACGCUGACAUGAAAUGUAAGGACAGUUUACACUAUGAGGACCGUUAUAUUUUACACACUUGAUGAAAACCUGCCAGGUUGGUUGUGGCAGCAUUUUAAGCUUCAUUUACACCCGGUAUUAAGAUGCGUUUUGUCAGUCUCAUUAGCAGUGGAUAAAGCUAAAUACAGGAGUAAACAAGGUCUAAAAUGCUUUGAGCCUGUCCACUUUCAACCACUUCCAGAGGUAGUGGAAUACACAUCAGAUUGGAUCGUAUUUCAAAGUGUAAACACUCAUGCAGUCGAAUGCAUUCCAACAUCCACUAAAGACCAGCUACUCUCUGCCUAUUGACCCAACACGUGAUCCUUAUGGGACGUCUUCAGAGUAUGUGCACCAAUGCAAGACAUUCAUAGUUUGCUGCAUAGUACCAAAACAUACAGAUUGCAAUACAAAUCGUAGUUGCUAGCCAUGUCCUUUUCAGUUGCUUGCUUUUCUCUAACCCUAGCCUGCUUGUGAACAGCCAUGAUGAAAACAUACACACCAGAGAAAGAGAACGUAAAUUAGUUUACAUUUAAAGUUUAAAGAAUAAACAGCAAUGUUUGUUAAAUUGACUGUAUAGAAAAUUUCCACGAAAGAAAUUCACUGUGAAGUUUACAUAUAAAUGAUAUAAUAAACCAACUUUUUUUGUUUAUUUUUUUUGUUUUGUUUUAUCUUUCUCCCUUACAGUGCCACCAUCAAGUUCACAGUGCAGUUAUCUCCAAUUUGGAUUCUUGUUACGAUUGUAUUGGUCCUGUGUCAAGUCUAAAAUGGCUUGGUUUUACUUGCAAAUGCAAGUAUAUAUGUCUAUACUAUACUUAUAUAUAUAUAUAUAUAUAUAUAUAUAUAUAUAUAUAUAUAUUAUAUAUAAGUAUAUAUAAGUAUAUAUAUAUAUAAUACGGUUGAAUACAUGUACAUGUUUUGUAUCUGUGUUCUUGACCUUUAGAAAACAAAACAGAUUUGUCCUAUAAAUGUUUUUUGUCCAGUUGAAUUAUAAACUGUAUUUUCCAGGCAUAUCCAUUUGUUUCUUUAUUUAUUGUUUUUAAAUAAAUAAAAGAAUCAAUUAAUAGAAACUUGUGCAGUGAUCUGAUUAAUUCUAAACUAAAUACAAGCAGAUUUUUUUCAGUAUGUUCAAGAUCAUGGCACAAAAGCUGUUUCCUGAAGAAUAUGAAAAUGGUAUGUUAAUUUCUUUAGUAUGACACAAACUGUUAACAUUUUUGUUUGUUACAUGAAAACUGUGUUGAACUAUAAGCAAAGUACAGUAUUUCUUAGGUUUUUAAUAAUAACAAGAUUAUUAUUACUGAUGUCUUUUUAGCCAGAGGUUGAAUUUUCAAGUUUAGAAGAAACCAGCUCUUAUGAACAGUAUUCUCCAUGCUCCGAAUCUUUGCUCAUUGAAUUUUCUGAUGGCUUUGUCCCGGACUCUGAACAUAAUAGUGAUGGUGAAAAUAGUCCGUCUAUCAAGACACAGA
Long non-coding RNA from Tachysurus fulvidraco (yellow catfish), 4424 nucleotides. RefSeq lists it as uncharacterized. The record is from RefSeq and is a predicted model, not a curated record. The transcript is spliced from 6 exons. NCBI's taxonomy places the organism in Eukaryota, Metazoa, Chordata, Actinopteri, Siluriformes, Bagridae.